CACACUGCCCGGUAGCUAAAUGCGGAAGAGAUAAGUGCUGAAAGCAUCUAAGCACGAAACUUGCCCCGAGAUGAGUUCUCCCUGAGACUUAGAGUCUCCUGAAGGAACGUUGAAGACGACGACGUUGAUAGGCCGGGUGUGUAAGCGCAGCGAUGCGUUGAGCUAACCGGUACUAAUGAACCGUGAGGCUUAACCUU
Molecule: ribosomal RNA, 197 nt
Filed under: Salmonella enterica
Lineage: Bacteria; Pseudomonadati; Pseudomonadota; Gammaproteobacteria; Enterobacterales; Enterobacteriaceae
Description: partial 23S ribosomal RNA
Rfam family: Bacterial large subunit ribosomal RNA
Source: RNAcentral